Alexandromys fortis (reed vole) is the source of this 2915-nucleotide long non-coding RNA. RefSeq lists it as uncharacterized. The record is from RefSeq and is a predicted model, not a curated record. Lineage: Eukaryota; Metazoa; Chordata; Mammalia; Rodentia; Cricetidae. The transcript is spliced from 2 exons.
UUUCGCUCUUUUAAUUUAUUUUAUUUAUUUUUGUGUGUACAGGUGUUUUUGUCUACAUGUACACAUGUAUGUGAACCUCAUGUGUGCCUGUUGUCUGCAGAGGCCAAGAGGAUGUCAGAUCCCCUGGAACUGGUGGCUGCAUCCCUAGGGGCUCAGAAAGGGCUCUGGUACACGGAUGGCACUCAGUAUUUACUACUGGACAAGCAGAGGAAGAAAGAAACAAGUGGCUCAAAUAAAGCCAAGUGAGAAUCAAGGAGUAAAAGUUCUACAAGGAAGUACAGCAUUCCAUCGGAACUGGAGGAAAAGGAGGAAAGGUUAGCUGCAAUGUGAUUUCAGGCAAAGCGUUUCUUCUUCCCUCUGAACUCUGUACUGUUACAAUAGCAGCACCCUUCCACUACAAUUACAAUUAUUCAAAGCUUCAAAUUUGCCAACCCUGUUCCAAGUCACCAUUCACUGCAUUUUAAGGUGAAGUAGUAUAGGACAGGGAUCUUUCUAUUGAUAGUCACAGAAUUAAUCUCUGGAUUAGGACAGAACUAAGAGGUAGAGCACUUACCUAAAAAGGUAUAAAGCUCUGGGAUUUGAUCCAAAUGCACAAGAAACGGCAUUACAGCACUACUAAUACCCUUAAAGAAAUUUAAAAAAAAUUUUUUCUGGGGGCUGGAGAGAUGGCUCAGAGGUUAAGAGCAUUGUCUGCUCUUCCAAAGGUCCUGAGUUCAAUUCCCAGCAACCACAUGGUGGCUCACAACCAUCUGUCAUGGGGUCUGGUGCCCUCUUCUGGCCUGCAGGCAUACACACAGACAGAAUAUUGCAUACAUAAUAAAUAAAUACUUUUAAAAAAAAUUUUUCUGUAUGUGCCUGAGUAUGUAUAUUCAAAUCAUGCAUGUUAGUGCCCACAGAAUCCAGCAAAGGGUGUUGGAGCCCCCAGAAUGGGAGUUACAGAUCUCUUGAGCCUCCUGAUAGAGGAGGUGCUGAGAACCAAACCCAGGUCUUCUGCAAGUGUACCAAGUAAACCAUCGAGCCAUCUCUUCAGUCUUCUUACUUUCCUGCUUUUCCUGGGUCUUACUCUGGCCAGGUUGAUCUCCAACUUGUAGCAGUUUUCCUGCCUUAAGUCUUCUCCUGGCUGGUAUUACAGGCGUAUACCCAACACUUAAUCUGGCACUAUUAACUUCUAAUAGGAAUAACGAGUAAAGCAAAAUUUGCUUAGGCAAAAAGGCAUGUUUUGAUAUACACUGGAAGGGAGGGUUGUCAUAUUAUGGCAUUGGGAUUGUGGGCUGAGCUCUUGCUUGCUCGCUCCCCACCCCUGGAGUUUCACUAUGUAUCCUUGGCUAGCUGGCCUGGUGUUCCCUACAUACAGACCAGGUUGGCCGUGAACUCACAGAGAUCCAUCUACCUCUGCCUCCUGAGUGUUGGGAUUAAAGUUGUGUGCCACUAUACCCAGAGGAUUGAACUCUCAAGACCACUCAGAAAGCAAGGAAGUAUAGAGGGAGAGUAACUGCAUAGCAUGUGAAGGGUCCAGAUUCAAUGCCAGCACCAUCUGCCUAAAAGUGGUUAAAAAAAAGAAAAAAAAAAAAGUCAAAAUUCAAGAGGCAGAGGCAAGAGGAUCUGAGUUCAAGGCCAGUCUGGUCUACAACUCCUACAACUCAAGCUCCAGGGCAGCUAGGGCUGUGACAGAGAAAAUUGUCCUGAAAAAAACAAAAGAAAAAGACGAAAAAACAUCAUAAGUGCUAUUUUCAUCUUCCUUUUAUCUUCAGAAACUUACACUGUGCCUUUGGACAUUUAAACACUAGAUCAAUAAACAAAAUUUAUAUUAAGAAAUUCUGGAAAAAAAGGAAAACAAGCACUCAUCAAAAACAACCCAAGAUUAUCAGUAAGUGAUAUGCUAAAUAUCUUGGGUGGCAAACAAAAAUUCCUUCAUUCAGAAAAGCAAACCUAAUAUGCAUGAGAAUUCAUUCUCUCCAGUAAAAGGUGGCGGUGGCAGCAGCAGGCAGCAGCGGCACACACCUUUAAUCGCAGCAAUCAAGAGGUAGAGGCAGGAUGAAUUGAGGUCAGACUGGUCUAUAGAGUGAGUUACAGGACAGCCAGGAAUGUUACACAGAGAAAUCCUGUCUUGAAACACCAAAAACCAAACCAAAACUUUCAAAAAAAAAAAAAAGAAAGAAAAGAAAAAAACCCUUAUACCAGAAGUAGGAAUGGCAAUACUAUGCAUCUGUAAUUACAGGACACAUGAGGCCGAGGCAAGAAAUUUAAUAAGAGUUCAAGGGCAGUCUUGGCCAUAUAAUAACACAACGCCUUAAAAAACAAAUCUUUAAUCUUAGCUCUCGAAGGUAGAAGCAGGUAGCUCAAGUCCACAACAGUAGGUCCAGGCUAGUCAAGGCUAAACAGUGAGAUUGUCUCCCCCAUAAACAAGCAAACAAACAAAACCAACCACCACACACAUAUACACACACACACACAAAAUAAUAACAACGACAACAACAAAAACACAGUAUGACUGAAGAUAAAAAUCAGUAGCAGAACACUUCCCUAGUGUGCUCAAGGCCCUGGAUUCUAUUCCCACAGUAGGGAAAGGAGAUAAAGACAAUUAAUAUUUCCCCUUCAAAUCAACUUUAAAAUUGUUCUUAAGAAAUAAAUCAAACAAAAAAUUUAGAACACCAUAAAAUGCACUAUUAAAUGCCUCUUAAUCAUUGAAACAAGCAAAGCAAAAGCAAAUCACAUGUUUUAUCAGUGUCUCAAAAUGCUAGAAACUUAGUCCAAUAUUGAGACACUGAAAAGGAAUAGGGGCCCAGCAUGGUGGCAAGAAGAUCUUAAUGAGUUCAAUGGUCUGCAUAAUCCUGGUCUCCAGGAUAACCGAGACUAUAAGGAGACCCUGUCUCAAAAACAAAACAAAAACAAAUACACACACACACACACACACA